CUACGGGGCGCUGCAGUGGGGAAUCUUGCGCAAUGGGCGAAAGCCUGACGCAGCGACGCCGCGUGGAUGAUGAAGGCCCUCGGGUCGUAAAGUCCUGUUCUGGGGGAAGAAACCACUUCGGUGCUGACGGUACCCCAGAAGAAAGCACAGGCUAACUCCGUGCCAGCAGCCGCGGUAAUACGGAGUGUGCUAGCGUUGUUCGGAUUUACUGGGCGUAAAGCGCAUGUAGGCGGCUUGACAAGUCGGAUGUGAAAUCCCGGGGCUCAACUCCGGAACUGCAUUCGAAACUGUCUUGCUUGAGUCCGGGAGGGGGUUGCGGAAUUCCGUGUGUAGAGGUGAAAUUCGUAGAUAUACGGAGGAACACCCGUGGCGAAGGCGGCAACCUGGACCGGUACUGACGCUGAGAUGCGAAAGCGUGGGGAGCAAACAGGAUUAGAUACCCCGGUAGUC
This 450-nucleotide ribosomal RNA is filed under the name uncultured bacterium. RNAcentral describes it as "partial 16S ribosomal RNA". It matches the Rfam family "Bacterial small subunit ribosomal RNA", at positions 339 to 795 of the family's 1533-position model. The record is from RNAcentral.